UACGUAGGGGGCUAGCGUUGUCCGGAAUCAUUGGGCGUAAAGCGCGUGUAGGCGGCCCGGUAAGUCCGCUGUGAAAGUCGGGGGCUCAACCCUCGGAUGCCGGUGGAUACUGUCGGGCUCGAGUACGGAAGAGGCGAGUGGAAUUCCUGGUGUAGCGGUGAAAUGCGCAGAUAUCAAGAGGAACACCGAUUGCGAAGGCAGACUCGCUGGACGUGACUGACGCUGAGACGCGAAAGCGUGGGGAGCAAACAGGAUUGAAGAUACCGUGUAAGUC
RNAcentral lists this ribosomal RNA (274 nucleotides) under uncultured bacterium. RNAcentral's name for it is "partial 16S ribosomal RNA". It matches the Rfam family "Bacterial small subunit ribosomal RNA", at positions 524 to 795 of the family's 1533-position model. The record is from RNAcentral.